Long non-coding RNA from Chroicocephalus ridibundus (black-headed gull), 6247 nucleotides. RefSeq lists it as uncharacterized. The transcript is spliced from 3 exons. The record is from RefSeq and is a predicted model, not a curated record. NCBI's taxonomy places the organism in Eukaryota, Metazoa, Chordata, Aves, Charadriiformes, Laridae.
GCCCCGCGGGCGGGAGGGCGGGGGGGACGGGGCUGCGCGGUGCCGCGGGUGCGGCUGUUGCUGGUGGCCGGCCCUGGAGGAGCUUCGCCUUCCCCCCGGGAUUACGUCUCUUUUGUCCUUUAUUUUGUUUUUCCUUUCUCCCCACCACCCCCCUUUUCUUUUUUUUUUUUUUUUCCUUUUUUUUCCUCCUUUUUUCAUUAUUGCGUUUUUCCCUUUCUCAGCUUGCCCGUGCUAGUCGCCUCCUUGGAAAGCUUUUAGCCGGUGGCACUGACGUCCCUAGGGGAAGGCGCCCGUCCCCGCAGCGCUGGCAGAGAGGUGGCUGCACUUUGUGUUCCAUCAGUCAGAAACCUGCAUUUCUGCAGUGUUGCCACCUACCAGUGAAUUGUAUAAAUUACUCCCAGCACACGAAGCUGAAAUUGCCAUGACUUACUCCAGCCUUCAGCUUGUUGAAAAGGCCCUGUGGUCCAUCUCAGCAGUGUCCAGCUGAAGGGUAUCAUGUCCAAAGUAUUUGGAUUUAGGAAUCACCUGUACAAUCCUGGUGCUGCGUCUGUGGGAUGGUUCAUGUAAGCAUCAGAACAGGAGAUCAGCAAAGAACACCACCGUGCAACUUAUAAUAGCGUCAACGGAGCCUCUGUUCUUACCUCUCUUUUAGGCUGUAUCUCCUCUGAGGCACAGGGGACUGAUGUAUUUGUACAAAAGGGCACAGAGGUGCCCAGCUACGGAUGCAAACGAUGUGCUUCUACGCUGUGCAUUGUUAAAUAAUAGCAAUCGUGCAUGGUAUGUAUGGUAGGGCGCAAUUUUCUGGAUGAGUAUUAUAAUUGCCACUCUUUCUGAUAUUUUUGUGUAAGUGAAAAUGUUUACUCGAAGCCUCGGUCUGAUUCUAAUUCUGUUCAUUGCAUUCUGCCUUCCGAAUCCCUUUUACAAUUUCAAUGGCAUGUAGUGUGUGUGGGUGUUGUUUUUUGGGCUUUUGGGUUGUUUUUUUUUUAAAUUGCUUGAGGCUUGUUGAGGUGAAGCUGUUGCAUUCUCUGCCUUCGGCCCUGCGGGCUGUGCCUGACUGGCUGUUGUGCUUCCCCCAGCGCUAUUUUCCAGUCAUGAAGCUGAAAACAUGCAAAUCAUAAGAAGCCAUAGCUGGAUCUAAAUUUAGCACUGCUGUGGAUUAACACUAGGACUGGAUCAAUUAAAUGUUCAGUCUUAGCUAAAUAGAAAAUAAAAUAUAUCUCAUUACAAAUGGAUCUUGUUUCACUUAACAGCCAAAUCCUCUGUCUACGUAAUGUAUAAACUAGACAGAGCUCUCUGAGAACUCAUCAUUCCCAGCCCGCAGCCACCUUGUUUUACGUAAACACCCACAUUAGUUUAUAAAAGUUCUAAAAAUAGAGUUGAAAUUUAUCAAAAAGUGGAUAAACUGGGACUAUAUGUCUAUUUGCAGUGUUGCUGUUGUGUGGAUCUAUUCAUCUCUGUUACAGUGACACUGUUAAAAGAAUAUGAAUGUAGGCAUUGAGCAGUCGAUAUUGAUUCCACCUCUACCCGUGGACAUUUGGAAAUGUUCGUUUUUAAAGGGGAGAUACUCAAUAACGGCUGGCGGGAGUCAGAACAGCAGGUUCCCUGAGGACCCUGGGAUAACUGUCCCACUCAUGCAAGAUCUGCUUUAUCCCUUCUGCAAAGACAAGCUGAAAGGAUACCCGCUAAUAUGGUCUGCAUUUUAAAGGACAGGACAUUCUCAUAUUCCUUAUGUCUUUUGUCAAUACAGAAAGCAAACAGCUUAGCAAGAAGCAGUGUAUUUUGAACAAUGACAUUUUCUUAGCAGAUACUGGCUGGGUUACACCAUCUCGGGUAAAGAGAUCUGAUUAAUCUUGUUUGAGGUUAACCAGGUGAUACAGAACACUGGCUCCGUGUUCUGUUCAAAUUGCAGUCUAUUUUGUUUCCCCUCCCAAAGGCCGUAUUUGUUAACCCAGGUAUGCAGAGGGACAUUAAACAAUCAAAUAUGUUUGUUAAAUCUGGACGUGGGCACCAUCUUUAUCGUAUUAUCUGCAUAUAACACAGUCGACACAGUCCUUUUGAUGACUUCUGAAUCCAUGUUAAUGAAACUCUCUCUAAAUGCCUAAAUGGUAUUAGUCAGAUGUUGAUCUAGGAAGUCUCCGUGGCUCACAAAAUCAAUCCCUUUUACAACUCCUACAGGUGAGUCCUGUCAGGAGCACAACAGUGAGAAAGCUGAAGAUUACAGAGGAGUAUAGAAGUUUUUGCACCACCUAAAAAUUUCAAAUUUUUGAAAAUAAGCAUUUCCUUUGAAGUGGAGAUAAAAUGUCAGUCUUUCCUAUUUCAUGAUGGGCAGAAAAGUUUAAACAAAACCAUUUAUUGGAAGAACCUGAUCUCCAUGCUGGGUGGAACCAGCAGAGGUUUAAUUAGACUUUAUUAGUGAGAAAUAAAAACACUAGCAAAAUAUAAAAUUUGUCAGUGGAAAUGUUUUCAUUUUCUUAAAAAUAUGUUAGGGUGGUAGUUUGUUUUUAUCACUUUCAGUAUUGCAGUAUAGGCUUUUCUGUGAAAAGCAGAAAGGUAAUGAAUGUCUGUCAGAAGUGGUAAAGGAUGCACAGUAAUGGAGAGGAGAGAAAGUAAUAUCUGCGCAAAUCUACUUAUAAGGCAGCCUUAUAGCCUUUCUACUUAUCAUAUUGACAAAAAAAUCCCAGAGUUCGUAAAGUUAAGCUCUCUGGAGUUAGAAAAGGCCAGAAUGAAAGUUUCCUUUGCAAUAUUAGGAAUCGCAUAUUUAUCCAGUGGCACCCUGAUCUACUCCCAGAGUGAAGGCUGGGAGAUAAAUGAGGGACAGGGUGAUAUUUGUCUGGCUUCAUCAAACUGGGGAAAUUCCCUUCGGGCUGGUUAAGGAGUACACUGAAGAGGUCAGACCAUAGCCAGGAUUGGACUGAAGGAGCAGACUGUUUUGUAGGUAGCCUGGGAGAGAGAUGUAGCCAAGUAUCUUGACAGAUUAGUCAUUCCCUUAAUACCAAGUGUUGCAAAAUAAUGUCUUAAUCCUCCAAGUGCAUUGGUUGUAGGCAGGUACAUUGUUCCCUUAGAACAUUUUUCUCAUCAGCGAUUAGUUCAGCAUUCAAAGAGGUCUUCAGAGCAAAGCAAGUCAUAGCUGGUUUUCGGUGAAUCAUUCCACGUGGAAAAUAACAGUCCAAACUUCUAAAAUAUGUGAAUAGAACGAUAAUGUCACUUCUUGUAUUUAAAUGUAUAUUAAACAGGUAGAAGGCCACGGAAAUUAGGAGAGACAUGCUCUGCUGUUAUUCCAGCGUUUGACUUACUCAGAGCAGUUACUGUCACAGCAGACAACAGUGACAGGUAAUUCUUCAUUAAAGAAACAUUUUCUGGGAUGUUUACGGUGCUAGGAAACGGCAGUGCAGGCCUGUACAUUACCAUGGGUUCUACUUAGAAGUCUAUGAGGCUGCAUAUAACUCAUUGACUAUGUUUUGGCAAGCUCUAUUUUAAAUAGAUGGUAGUUGGUUCCACACUAUGUCACAGCCUUCAGUUAGGAGCUGUGAUGAGACCUCUACAUCAAUGUACUCAGUGUUUUUCUGCUUGCAAGAUGAUGCUCCUCAAGGAUUGCUUAAACGUCAUUGUAAAAUGAGAGUGAGAAGCCUUAAUUAACAAAAGUACCAACAAAAAUUUAAAAUUUCUUCACUGACCAUAAAUACUAAAAUGUACCAAAUAGAUAAUUAAAAUAAAAAAAAAGGAAAUUGGGCCAGUUCUUAAAGGAUGGGGUAGAUUAAUCAAUCAGAGGUGUCCAAAUAGAGAGUUGAAUUUGUCUGUGAACAGAGUCUUGUCUCCAAGUUUGGUAAAGAUCUAGAAAUGCUGGCAAGCUGCGGAGCCACCCAAGGAUGUUGGUCAGCUCAUUUGGAACCUCAAAAGACACCACAAAUCCUGACUCUUACUAUCCCCAAGCUAGGAUGAAAGACAGCAAUAAAGUCCUGGGAAGAGGGUGAUCUUCUAGCAUGCGCCUAGAGAAACAGGGAGGCAGAACAGGAACGUGUCUCCCCAGUUCACACAAGUGGCCAAAUGUUGCCUGAGUCCAACUGUGGAUGCUUCCUUCGCUUUUCUGAGGUGCCACCUUGCAGAUCAGCAUUUAUCUCCUGGCUUGUGGUUUCAUUUUAGAGAGGAACAGCUACUGCUCAUCAGGUGCGUUCUCUGUGAUGUCAGCUGUGAUUUUAGCUGAUCCUUUUAGUAAGCUUUUCUUAACACCAAACUCUUUUAAAAAUGAAACUGACUGUGUGGCACUUUCUAAACAAUCAGUACUUUUUCUGAUAUGUCUUGCUCUGAGGUGUGACAUGAGAGCUGCAGUUGAAGUUCUGAAAUGCUGAACUUGUUUUACAGCUAACAUAAAACUAGUGUUUAGUUGCUGUGGAUUUUUAUUUUUUUUUUAAACCAAGUUGUUUACUUAAUCUCUUUGUUUUAAAUAAGUUCAGUUUUUUGGUAGCUUUCCAACAAAAACUGUUAUUUGAAGACUGAGGCAACAUUCCUGGCAAGUCUGGAACUUAGAAAAAAAUCAGGGGACAAGAUGGCUUAGAUUAACUCUCUGGGAUAUACUCGAACGUAUCAGGAAUCAUAGGAAGCACAGGUAAAUUACAAGGAGGAAUGGAAAGAAGAACAAAAAUUAUCUUGAGGAAAUUACUCCCUGCUGUGUACUAUACCAAUAUCCACUUAAUAACUAAUGCCCGCUGUAUUGAUUACCUUCCGCUUGCUUUGGCUACAGGAGAAGCGAGGGCAAUUUCUUCCAUGUAUUAUGGCAUUAUUCCUCCUUUGCAUAGUAUAUUUCCUUUAUUUCAGACAAAUACUCCAUAUACAGUUAAGAGAGAUUAAUUUCACAUCUGUGGACAAGCCUCAAGAGUGCACUGCAGGAGUAACAGGAGCUGUUAGUUCUAAAAAGAGAUUUCAUUUUAAACUAUCAUACAUGCCUAAAGGCCAAAUUAGAGCGAUUGUACAAGCACAUUAAGUUAUGGAAGAAAGAAUAGCCACUAAAAACUCCCAGGACUCCAGCCUCUAAAUUGGACAGAGGUAGAUUUUCCAGCAUUGUUCAAUUAAGGGUCUGUUCGAAGACACUCAGAUCAAACUACCAUUAUUUUCUUAUUCUCUCCACAUCACUCAAGAAAUAGCCCAAGUUUAUGCGAGUCACUGUGUUUACUCUGAUGGGAAAGAAGAUCAGGCAACGAAAAAAAUCACAAGAGAUGCUUGAGUUUGAAGUGCCAAAGCUCCUGUGAUGACUCCAAGGCUGGAGCAAUGAUGGGACUCAACAGCAGAGAGGGUCCCCGAUGCUGCUGGUGACUUUUUGCCCCCCGGUUUUGUGGAAGCUGCUCUAAUAGUAGCAAACUAUUGUGGUUAGGGGAUUUAUGCACUUUUCUAUUAACCUCAGCUGAAGGGGGAAUGUGCGCAGUGAAUAUGAGGGUGAUACAUGUCUUGAUACACGUAGAGAAAAUGACAGUGUUUACUGAGAAAUUCAGAGCUUGUUUGUAUGGAGAGAAUAGCAAGUGAAACAAAGACGAACAUGCUUAAUCUCCCUGGUUCCUAACGUGCUUCAUGUUUAAGUGCCAGCUCUCAGGGGUGAAUUAAGAUGUAUUUGUAAUCAGACCUGUAACCUCUCAACUAUUUUUAAAUGUGUGUUUCAAAAUAUGGGAAAAAAAAGAGUGUAGGUGUGCAGAAAAUACUGUGUAAAUUGAAUAUUAACUUUGUUAUCAUUGUGUUUAAUAAGUAAGUGCUUUUUUAUAUUACUGUCAUUAAUGACUAAUGUUGACAUAGCAUUUGGCAGCAGUUUCUUAGUACCAUACUUCUGUUGCUGCUGGUAAGUGGUAAGAACAUGGUUUCAGUCACUACUUUGCCUAGCUGACUUCAUUAAUGGCCUGCAACGUAAAGGCCUGAAAUGUUAAAAAAUAUGUUCAUCAUAUCUGGUUUUCUUGACUUCCCUUUAUAUACAGAAUGCAUCUUAAUUGUAUUUUCCUUACAUAUUUAAUAGGGAAGGGGUGGACAUUUGGAACUGGGUGCAGAAUCGACAUGUGAAAAGCCGCUUGAGACAAGAGGAUAUUUUUGCAUUGAGAGUUUCUAUGUAGGUGGUUUGCAAGUAACUGGAGAGUCAAGAAGGAUUGUGGUGGUUUCCUCUGCUGUAGUUACUGCUUCUUGGGGGGUAUUACACAACUACUCUGUAUGCAUCAUACAGGCCUGCUGCUUUGAAUGUUUUUUACUAAAUCUUCUGUCUGCCCCAUAUUCUUUA